GAUGAAGAACGCAGUGAAAUGCGAUAAGUAGUGUGAAUUGCAGAAUUCAGUGAAUCAUCGAAUCUUUGAAAGCACAUUGCGCCCCAUGGUAUUCCGUGGGGCAUGCCUGUUCGAGCGUCAUUUACCCCCUCAAGCUCCGCUUGGUGUUGGGCGUCUGUCCCGCUUCGCGCGCGGACUCGCCCCAAAGGUAUUGGCAGCGGUCGUGCCAGCUUCUCGCGCAGCACAUUGCGCUUCUCGAGGCACCGGUGGGCCCGCGUCCAUCAAGCUCACCCCCCCAGUUUGACCUCGGAUCAGGUAGGGAUACCCGCUGAACUUAAGCAUAUCAAUAAGCGGAGGA
This 337-nucleotide unclassified non-coding RNA is filed under the name soil metagenome. RNAcentral describes it as "partial contains 5.8S ribosomal RNA, internal transcribed spacer 2, and large subunit ribosomal RNA". The stretch from base 1 to 120 matches the Rfam family "5.8S ribosomal RNA", at positions 35 to 154 of the family's 154-position model. The record is from RNAcentral.